GAUGAACGCUGGCGGCAGGCCUAACACAUGCAAGUCGAACGGUAACAGGAAGCAGCUUGCUGCUUCGCUGACGAGUGGCGGGCGGGUGAGUAAUGUCUGGGAAACUGCCUGAUGGAGGGGGAUAACUACUGGAAACGGUAGCUAAUACCGCAUAACGUCGCAAGACCAAAGAGGGGGACCUUCGGGCCUCUUGCCAUCGGAUGUGCCCAGAUGGGAUUAGCUAGUAGGUGGGGUAACGGCUCACCUAGGCGACGAUCCCUAGCUGGUCUGAGAGGAUGACCAGCCACACUGGAACUGAGACACGGUCCAGACUCCUACGGGAGGCAGCAGUGGGGAAUAUUGCACAAUGGGCGCAAGCCUGAUGCAGCCAUGCCGCGUGUAUGAAGAAGGCCUUCGGGUUGUAAAGUACUUUCAGCGGGGAGGAAGGCGAUAAGGUUAAUAACCUUGUCGAUUGACGUUACCCGCAGAAGAAGCACCGGCUAACUCCGUGCCAGCCGCCGCAGUAA
RNAcentral lists this ribosomal RNA (506 nucleotides) under uncultured bacterium. RNAcentral describes it as "partial 16S ribosomal RNA". It matches the Rfam family "Bacterial small subunit ribosomal RNA", at positions 28 to 523 of the family's 1533-position model. The record is from RNAcentral.